Molecule: ribosomal RNA, 405 nt
Filed under: uncultured bacterium
Lineage: Bacteria
Description: partial 16S ribosomal RNA
Rfam family: Bacterial small subunit ribosomal RNA
Source: RNAcentral
GACGAACGCUGGCGGCGUGCUUAACACAUGCAAGUCGAGCGGAGCGGCGGACGGGUGAGUAAGGCGUUAGUAAUUGGCCCCCUCCCUGUGAUGACAGUUGGAAACGGGUGCUAAUACCGGAUAGUGGGGGCUGACUCGCGUCCUAUCGGCUUAUUGGUUGGGUAGUGGCCGACCAAGGCGACGCCGGGUAGCCGGCCUGAGAGGGCAACCGGCCUCAAUGGGCUGAGAUAGGGACCAGACUCCUACGGUGGGCAGCAGUGGGGAAUAUGGCACAAUGGUGCAAACUCUGUGGCAGCAACGCCGCGGGCGGGAGGACCGCCUUGCGGGGGUAAACCGCUUUCAGCCAUGACCCGGUAGUGGCAGAAGAAGCACCGGCUAACUACGUGCCAGCAGCCGCGGUAAUAC